This 391-nucleotide unclassified non-coding RNA is filed under the name soil metagenome. Its description in RNAcentral is "partial contains 5.8S ribosomal RNA, internal transcribed spacer 2, and large subunit ribosomal RNA". The stretch from base 1 to 122 matches the Rfam family "5.8S ribosomal RNA", at positions 35 to 154 of the family's 154-position model. The record is from RNAcentral.
GAUGAAGAACGCAGUGAAAUGCGAUACUUGGUGUGAAUUGCAGAAUCCCGUGAACCAUCGAGUCUUUGAACGCAAGUUGCGCCCGAAGCCAUUAGGCCGAGGGCACGCCUGCCUGGGCGUCACACGUCGUUGCCCCCCCAUCUACUCCUUCGGGAUUGCGGGGGGCGGAUGAUGGCCUCCCGUGCGCCACGCCGCGCGGUUGGCAUAAAUGCCAAGUCCUCGGCGACGCACGCCACGACAAUCGGUGGUUGCGAAACCUCGGUUGCCCGUCGUGUGCGGUCGUCGCGCAUCGAGGGCUCGAAAAAAUUGCCGGGUUCCGGCUCGGCUUUCAACGCGACCCCUGGUCAGGCGGGGUUACCCGCUGAAUUUAAGCAUAUCAAUAAGCGGAGGA